This 303-nucleotide ribosomal RNA is filed under the name uncultured bacterium. Its description in RNAcentral is "partial 16S ribosomal RNA". It matches the Rfam family "Bacterial small subunit ribosomal RNA", at positions 507 to 807 of the family's 1533-position model. The record is from RNAcentral.
AGCAGCCGCCGCGGGAAUACGGAGGGGGCUAGCGUUGUUCGGAAUUACUGGGCGUAAAGCGCACGUAGGCUGCUUUGUAAGUCAGAGGUGAAAGCCCGGGGCUCAACCCCGGAUGUGCCUUUGAGACUGCAGGGCUAGAACGUCGGAGAGGUGAGUGGAAUUCCGAGUGUAGAGGUGAAAUUCGUAGAUAUUCGGAAGAACACCAGUGGCGAAGGCGGCUCACUGGACGACUGUUGACGCUGAGGUGCGAAAGCGUGGGGAGCAAACGGGAUUAGAUACCCGAGUAGUCCCUGUCUCUUAUAC